GACGAACGCUGGCGGCGUGCUUAACACAUGCAAGUCGAACGGAAAGGCCCUGCUUUUGUGGGUUUCUCGAGUGGCGAACGGGUGAGUAACACGUGAGUAACCUGCCCUUAUCUUUGGGAUAACUUCAGGAAACUGGGGCUAUUACCGGAUAGGAGCUCCUGCUGCAUGGUGGGGAGUGGAAAAUUUCGGCGGUUGGGGAUGGACUCGCGGCUUAUCAGCUUGAUGGUGGGGUAGUGGCUUACCAAGGCUUUGACGGGUAGGCGGCCUGUGAGGGGGACCGGCCACAUUGGGACUGAGGUACGGCCCAGACUCCUACGGGAGGCAGCAGUGGGGAAUAUUGCACAAUGGGCGGAAGCCUGAUGCAGCAACGCCGCGUGCGGGAUGACGGCCUUCGGGUUGUAAACCGCUUUCGCCUGUGACGAAGCGUGAGUGACGGUAAUGGGUAAAGAAGCACCGGCUAACUACGUG
RNAcentral lists this ribosomal RNA (468 nucleotides) under uncultured bacterium. Its description in RNAcentral is "partial 16S ribosomal RNA". It matches the Rfam family "Bacterial small subunit ribosomal RNA", at positions 28 to 507 of the family's 1533-position model. The record is from RNAcentral.